GUGCUUGGGCAGCACAUAUACUAAAAUAGGAAUGAUACAAAGAUUGGCAUGGCCCUCGCAUAAGGAUGACACACAAAUUUGUGAGGCUUUCCAUACGUAA
RNAcentral lists this small nuclear RNA (100 nucleotides) under Propithecus coquereli (Coquerel's sifaka). Lineage: Eukaryota; Metazoa; Chordata; Mammalia; Primates; Indriidae. The record is from RNAcentral.